Molecule: long non-coding RNA, 605 nt
Organism: Salvia miltiorrhiza (redroot sage)
Lineage: Eukaryota; Viridiplantae; Streptophyta; Magnoliopsida; Lamiales; Lamiaceae
Exons: 3
Source: RefSeq, a predicted model, not a curated record
CUUUCACAGCAGACACAAUUCUUCCUUCUAUUUUCCUUACUUCCAAAAUUUCAAUCGAAACACAAGAAAUCUCUUUUAACAAUAUCUACCUCAAAUCAAAUUCAGCCAUACACCAACAAAUCAAAGAACACAGCUUGUCCACUUGUUAGAAGGUUUUAGCACUGGUUUUACAAGAAGAGAAUUGUGCAAAUUUUAUCUACAGGCUUGUCCUAUCAAGGUUGAGCGGCAGGUGGUGUUGUGCGAGGCUGAGGGAGGAUGUUGCUGUAGUUCCAUAUAAUAAUUUCCGCUGCCAUAAUAUUCACUUAGGUGGAUAUCUUUUGAGAUUGACUCUUUAAAUAUUCUUAGCCUAAUUAUUAUGAACCCUUUUGGCAAUCGCUUUCUAGCAAUUGAACCUCGCAUAUAUGUAUGUCUAGUAUGAAGUCUUAUCUUGUUGUCUCAGACCUCCGAACUUUUGAUCCUGGUUGGGAAAAUUUUUAUCUUAAUUGUUGUAUUUAUUAUCCUUCAAUUGCGGCACUCCUUUAUUAACAAUGUAUUACCUGAAUCUAAGAACAUAUCACCCAUUUUAUUCUAACAAAGUCUAGCAAAUCCCAUUAAGUAGCCGUUUC